GCGCCCGUAGCUCAGUGGAUAGAGCACCAGCCUCCGGAGCUGGGGGUCGCAGGUUCGAUACCUGCCGGGCGCGCCA
RNAcentral lists this transfer RNA (76 nucleotides) under Desulfosarcina sp. RNAcentral describes it as "tRNA-Arg". It matches the Rfam family "tRNA". From Rfam's summary of the family: Transfer RNA (tRNA) molecules are approximately 80 nucleotides in length. Their secondary structure includes four short double-helical elements and three loops (D, anti-codon, and T loops). RNAcentral also lists the same sequence under 3 other names. The record is from RNAcentral. Lineage: Bacteria; Pseudomonadati; Thermodesulfobacteriota; Desulfobacteria; Desulfobacterales; Desulfosarcinaceae.